This 165-nucleotide ribosomal RNA is filed under the name uncultured bacterium. RNAcentral's name for it is "partial 16S rRNA". It matches the Rfam family "Bacterial small subunit ribosomal RNA", at positions 355 to 511 of the family's 1533-position model. The record is from RNAcentral.
UAGGGAAUCUUCGGCAAUGGACGAAAGUCUGACCGAGCAACGCCGCGUGAGUGAAGAAGGUUUUCGGAUCGUAAAACUCUGUUGGUAGAGAAGAACGUUGGUGAGAGUGGAAAGCUCAUCAAGUGACGGUAACUACCCAGGAAGGGACGGCUAACUACGUGUCAG